Molecule: ribosomal RNA, 466 nt
Filed under: uncultured bacterium
Lineage: Bacteria
Description: bacterial SSU rRNA
Rfam family: Bacterial small subunit ribosomal RNA
Source: RNAcentral
AAUGAACGUUGGCGGCGUGGAUUAGGCAUGCAAGUCGAGCGAGAACCCGCAAGGGGGACAGCGGCAAACGGGGUAGUAAUGUGUCGGAACGUGCCCUCUGGACGGGGAUAGCGGCGGGAAACUGCCGGUAAUACCCGAUGAACUCGAGAGAGCAAAGGUGUGAUUCCGCCGGAGGAGCGGCCGACAUGGUAUUAGCUAGUUGGCGGGGUAACGGCCCACCAAGGCUGUGAUGCCUAGGGGAUGUGAGAGCAUGAUCCCCACCAUUGGGACUGAGACACUGCCCAGACACCUACGGGUGGCUGCAGUCGAGAAUCUUCGGCAAUGGGCGCAAGCCUGACCGAGCGACGCCGCGUGGAGGACGAAGGCCUUCGGGUUGUAAACUCCUGUCGAGGGGGAAGAAGGGGUAACACCUUGACUGAUCCUCGGAGGAAGCACGGGCUAAGUUCGUGCCAGCAGCCGCGGUAAU